UGGAGAUGGGUACUUCUCUAGGAAACAUGAAUGGCUCUGUUGAUUAGAGUAAAUAAUUUUGAUAUUUCGGAAUUUUUAUUCUUAGCAUGUCUCAUGAGGAAUUAACAUAUGUAAUUAGUAAUAAUAAGAUAACAAUUUACACGCCACAUGGGUGUUUGAUUUAGCUGUUCAUCAGCUAGUCUUAUGAGACACGUCAAAUACCACUUGUAAUUCGAAACAAGUGCAGGGUAAAAAAAUAGGGAUGUCCGGGUAUGGUGAUUGUGUACACAUUUAAGGUUCUUGCAACUUAGACCUCACAAGGAAGGUGGGGAUCACUUUAGGGUUGGUCUAAGGAAGGUGGGGAUCACUUUAGGGUUUUUCAAGGUUCAUUUGGAAAGUUAUUUUGUUUCUAAAUAUUUUUCUGUACCUUUUCCAUAAAUUACCAUUUAAGCUUACUAGGACUUAACGUUUUCUUUAUUCAUUUAAACCGGUUCAUCUUCCAAAAUUUGUUUUCAUAUUGAAAAAACAACAUAUGACACUAAGAAUUUAGUAGUAUCUCAAUCAUGUCAUCACUGAGUUACUCUAAAAAUUUGGGAUCCAUUGGAUUAGCACAAAAAUAGUUAAAAUUAUUUUAUUACCCAAAGAUAGCAUGUACUUAACCAUUUUUAUAUCAAAAUCUACAGUGAUUCUAAGGGUGAAACUUUAGCAGUGGGUUGAAGGUGUGUUAUAGAAACUUUGGUGAAUUAUUCAUGAUUUUUGGUCAAGGACAACUAUU
Molecule: long non-coding RNA, 754 nt
Filed under: Setaria viridis
Lineage: Eukaryota; Viridiplantae; Streptophyta; Magnoliopsida; Poales; Poaceae
Description: long non-coding RNA (SVIR_LNC004140)
Source: RNAcentral